RNAcentral lists this long non-coding RNA (302 nucleotides) under Manihot esculenta (cassava). RNAcentral describes it as "long non-coding RNA (MESC_LNC012689)". The record is from RNAcentral. Lineage: Eukaryota; Viridiplantae; Streptophyta; Magnoliopsida; Malpighiales; Euphorbiaceae.
CCAGGUGCACUCUUCUAUUUUAUGGUGGUUCCAGAGGACUUUCACCAUCGGGAUCUCCUUGUUCCUUAGCUUUCUGAUCUGGGUGUCAAUGAUCCGCACUGGUUGUUCUACAUACGUGAGAUCACCUAGGAUCUCCACAUCUGGUUCGCUGAGAACCUUAUUCGGAUCUGACACAAACUUCCUUAGCAUCGAAACAUGGAAGACUGGAUGGAUUCUUUCCAUAGACAUAGGCAAAUCAAGCUUAUACGACACCUUUCCGACCUUCUGCAAAAUCUCAAAAGGUCCAAUGUACCGCGGAGCCA